This 98-nucleotide non-coding RNA is filed under the name Trichoplax adhaerens. Lineage: Eukaryota; Metazoa; Placozoa; Uniplacotomia; Trichoplacea; Trichoplacidae. The record is from RNAcentral. RNAcentral also lists the same sequence under 1 other name.
AUCUCCCUCGAUAAGGACGAGAAAAGUCUCCUGAUUUUCAACAUACACACAAAUAGUUAAGGCAUUGCCACCUACUUUAUGGCAUCUGACCAUCUUUU